Molecule: long non-coding RNA, 501 nt
Organism: Cloeon dipterum
Lineage: Eukaryota; Metazoa; Arthropoda; Insecta; Ephemeroptera; Baetidae
Exons: 4
Source: RefSeq, a predicted model, not a curated record
CAAAAUACAUGUCUUUUUCAGGGUGAAAAGAAAGUCUCUUGUCUUGAAAAAUAUAAGCAGGACGUGGUGACUCUUGGAAACGGGAAAAGCUAUCAUUUCUCAACAGAAAGGAAAAAUUGGUAUCAAGCGAAGGAUUAUUGCGCGGAGAAGGGCAUGCGUUUGGCGUCCCCGAAAACUCAAGAAGAACUCGAUAUCCUGCAUGAAAAAAUAAACGAAUAUUUUGAACUUGGUCUUUUCUGGUUGUCGGCGUCGGACGUUGGGCGGAAAGGAAUCGAAUUCCGGUGGCUGGACGGGGAAGUUCUUCCUGUCAGCAGCUCCUUGUGGGACAAAGGCACGAAGCAACCCGACCAUUUUGGCAUUCGCGAAGAAUCCUGCGCUUUCAUUUCAACAUAUUACGGAAGUAACAAGUUGCUCGACCAUGAAUGCUUGUCAUCGUCAUUAUCCGGCAGUUUGUGUGUGGCCGUCGAUUGCGUCUAAAGAACUUUUAAGUUAUCUUGUUUG